AACGCACAUUGCGCCCUCUGGUAUUCCGGAGGGCAUGCCUGUUCGAGCGUCAUUACAACCCUCAAGCUCUGCUUGGUAUUGGGCUCUGCCGGUCCUGGCAGGCCUCAAAGUCAGUGGCGGUGCCAUCCGGCUCCAAGCGUAGUAAUUCUUCUCGCUUCGGAGGCCGCGGUGCGUGCUAGCCAGCAACCCCUAAUUUUUUCAGGUUGACCUCGGAUCAGGUAGGGAUACCCGCUGAACUUAA
This 241-nucleotide unclassified non-coding RNA is filed under the name uncultured fungus. Its description in RNAcentral is "partial contains 5.8S ribosomal RNA, internal transcribed spacer 2, and large subunit ribosomal RNA". The stretch from base 1 to 52 matches the Rfam family "5.8S ribosomal RNA", at positions 103 to 154 of the family's 154-position model. The record is from RNAcentral. Lineage: Eukaryota; Fungi.